Oryza brachyantha (malo sina) is the source of this 971-nucleotide long non-coding RNA. RefSeq lists it as uncharacterized. Lineage: Eukaryota; Viridiplantae; Streptophyta; Magnoliopsida; Poales; Poaceae. The record is from RefSeq and is a predicted model, not a curated record. The transcript is spliced from 3 exons.
GCCCAUAAAUUUUUAAGUCCGAGCACGAACCCUACACUUUUGAGGCUGCCAAAUUUUUUCAUCUCCGCACGCCAUACUCCAUCGCCGCCCACCUAUGCCAUCACGCCCCGACCUCCGCCGCCGCCACCGGCCUCCACCACCACCGUCGCACCCCAUCUGCCGGCCUCCACCGCCGCCUCUACCGGCUGAUCGCACGGGCACGAGCUCCGACGCCGCCCCAUCCCAGCAAGGCCACCACGCCGGUGGCGAGUCCGCCGGCGCCAAGGAGCCCAGCCACAUGGCUAAACCGGCCGAGCACUUCGUUCUCAUGGCACCCCCUGUGCCGCCGCCUUCUCCGCCCGUCCGCACCACCGGUUGCUCGCCGAGGCCAAGAUGUGAACCAAAUGCCCCGAGGGGAAGGUGUCUCUGAUCUCCAUUAACGCGCUGCACCAGCUGCACAUCUUCAUCUUCUUCCUGCCCGUCUUCCAUGUCACGUAUAGAGCCAUCACCGUGGCGUUGGGCAGGGCCAAGGCAUGCUCUGUUUCUCCUCCUCCUCUCUGACUUCUUAUUCUUCUUGGUAAUAGUUUCAAGCUGCUUUCAUGGUGACGCUGCUGCAGAUUCGUGGAUGGAAAGAUUGGGAGAAAGAAGUCGCGGGGCAAAACUUCGAGUUCUCUAAUGAUCCGACGAGGUUCAGAUCCACUCACGAGAUCUAUGCCACGUCAUCCAUCGUAAGUGCUGUCAUGUGAAAGAACAUUUAUUUGACCCAGAGGGUUCCCUAGCGACAAGCGACGAAUUCAAGAAUCUUCGGGAGUGAAACAAUGCUAUGCCAUAAUAUUACUAGAUGGCAUAUUUAAAGUAACAAUGUACAAAAAUAUUGUAAUAUAUAUAUUUUUGUACACUUUCAGUUAUGCAAUAUAUGUAAAUUUCUCAUUACCAAAUGCUUGAUAAUCUUUCAAUAUAUGUACAUAAUAAUCUACCUGCAAGAAUUUUUA